Molecule: unclassified non-coding RNA, 306 nt
Filed under: plant metagenome
Description: partial contains 5.8S ribosomal RNA, internal transcribed spacer 2, and large subunit ribosomal RNA
Rfam family: 5.8S ribosomal RNA (bases 1-105)
Source: RNAcentral
GAAAUGCGAUAAGUAAUGUGAAUUGCAGAAUUCAGUGAAUCAUCGAAUCUUUGAACGCACAUUGCGCCCGCCAGUAUUCUGGCGGGCAUGCCUGUCCGAGCGUCAUUUCAACCAUCAAGCCCCCGGGCUUGUGUUGGGGACCUGCGGCUGCCCGCAGGCCCUGAAAACCAGUGGCGGGCUCGCUGUCACACCGAGCGUAGUAGCAAUCACCUCGCUCAGGGCGUGCUGCGGGUUCCGGCCGUUAAACAGCCUUACAAAACCCAAGGUUGACCUCGGAUCAGGUAGGGAGACCCGCUGAACUUAGGC